Molecule: long non-coding RNA, 891 nt
Organism: Seriola aureovittata
Lineage: Eukaryota; Metazoa; Chordata; Actinopteri; Carangiformes; Carangidae
Exons: 2
Source: RefSeq, a predicted model, not a curated record
CGACCAUUCAAAACAUUACGCACAGCAUCGCGGCCGGACCACGCUAGACUACUCGACUGAAAUAAUUUUUCGCCGAGCCCGGAGAGCGGAGACAAUGCGGACAAACUCCAUUGCAGUCACAGGUGCUGGAGCAUCUAGAACAAUCCAGGUAAAGUGCUGGCAAGACAAAAGUCUACAUGGCGGAUGAGCACCACCACCAUCAUCAUCACCACCUCCACUUCCACCCUGCUCUACGCUUUUAGCCUCUUUACAGUGCUGCCUUGUCUUAUCAUGUUCAAGCAGCAUUGUACAGGGCUAUGACAGCGUAGAGAGUUGAGCUGCUCGGCCGCUGCGUUUCCCGGACCCCCUGGAUAGCUGCCAGCAAAUGACAUCAUCCGUUUAAACUGCAUGUGACCUGCACGAAUUGUUGGCAAUAGAGUGACUCCUCUAUUAAUUCUCAUGCUGAUGCAGUCAGACACUGAAAUGUUCUGCUUUUUACGGUGAAAGAAAAAAAACGGAACACACUAAGUUCUCCUUGGGUUGAAUUAUUCAAUGCAAACCUACAUCCUUUAGCAGCCAAUACAUUAUUGAACCAAUUAGUUACACUGCACUGUGCUACUUCUGGAUCAGCCUCAGUUUGUGCAUCUCAUGUAUGAGCAUUACAUUUGAAUCACAGAGUUACGAAUCCCCAAAAAUAAAAACCUGGCUAUUUCUGACAGUUUGGUGUGAACGCUUACCGCUGCUCUCCUUCACAGAGGGAUUAUUUUUCAGAUCAUCAGUGUGUAGCUCUGUGACUUGAAUGUUCAUGAGCACCACAAACUGGGGCUGAGUGGGCCACUGAAUAUGAUUGUAUGUUCCUAUAUGUUGAGAGACCAGAAAUGUGUAAUGUAUUAUUAAAACAUUUGAAAUGAA